GCUCUGCAGAUAAAGACUGUUGAUGGAAGGUGAAGUCUAACUGAGACUGUCACCAAUGCAGCAAAUCUAGCUAGAUUUUUACGCCUCUACGAAAAAGGCAGGUACAAAUGAAAGAGUUAAGUCCAUCUCGGUGCUGGUGCGGCCUCACC
This is a long non-coding RNA of Oxyura jamaicensis (ruddy duck), 149 nucleotides long. RefSeq lists it as uncharacterized. Lineage: Eukaryota; Metazoa; Chordata; Aves; Anseriformes; Anatidae. The record is from RefSeq and is a predicted model, not a curated record. The transcript is spliced from 4 exons.